AUGGAUUGUAUUUCGAUCCGACUUGCUUGAAAUUAAGGCGUAGUUAAUGAUUGUUGUUUGAACAAUUUAGGACGACAAUAACAUAUCUAGUGAAAUUCCAUGAGUGGGGUCGGGAGAGGAUAGAGUGUAUGCAACAGACCUUAUCCCUAUCUCAUAGAGAUAAAAGACAUUUCUGUUUAAGUGGCAAAUAUAGGUGAGUUUGGUCGGG
This 208-nucleotide unclassified non-coding RNA is filed under the name Hevea brasiliensis (rubber tree). Lineage: Eukaryota; Viridiplantae; Streptophyta; Magnoliopsida; Malpighiales; Euphorbiaceae. The record is from RNAcentral.